GACGAACGCUGGCGGCGUGCUUAACACAUGCAAGUCGAACGGAAAGGCCCUGCUUUUGUGGGGUGCUCGAGUGGCGAACGGGUGAGUAACACGUGAGUAACCUGCCCUUGACUUUGGGAUAACUUCAGGAAACUGGGGCUAAUACCGGAUAGGAGCUCCUGCUGCAUGGUGGGGGUUGGAAAGUUUCGGCGGUUGGGGAUGGACUCGCGGCUUAUCAGCUUGUUGGUGGGGUAGUGGCGUACCAAGGCUUUGACGGGUAGCCGGCCUGAGAGGGUGACCGGCCACAUUGGGACUGAGAUACGGCCCAGACGCCUACGUGAGGCAGCAGUGGGGAAUAUUGCACAAUGGGCGGAAGCCGGAUGCAGCAACGCCGCGUGCGGGAUGACGGCCUUCGGGUUGUAAACCGCGUUCGCCUGUGACGAAGCGUGAGUGACGGUAAUGGGUAAAGAAGCACCGGCUAACUACGUG
Molecule: ribosomal RNA, 468 nt
Filed under: uncultured bacterium
Lineage: Bacteria
Description: partial 16S ribosomal RNA
Rfam family: Bacterial small subunit ribosomal RNA
Source: RNAcentral